RNAcentral lists this ribosomal RNA (405 nucleotides) under uncultured prokaryote. RNAcentral describes it as "bacterial SSU rRNA". It matches the Rfam family "Bacterial small subunit ribosomal RNA", at positions 355 to 774 of the family's 1533-position model. The record is from RNAcentral.
UGGGGGAUAUUGCACAAUGGGCGAAAGCCUGAUGCAGCAACGCCGCGUGAGGGAAGACGGUUUUCGGAUUGUAAACCUCUGUCUUCGGUGAAGAAACAAAUGCCGGUAACCGAGGAGGAAGCCACGGCUAACUACGUGCCAGCAGCCGCGGUAAUACGUGGGUGGCAAGCGUUGUCCGGAAUUACUGGGUGUAAAGGGAGCGCAGGCGGGGAGACAAGUCAGCUGUGAAAACUAUGGGCUUAACCCAUAAACUGCAGUGGAAACUGUUUGUCUUGAGUGGAGUAGAGGUAGGCGGAAUUCCGAGUGUAGCGGUGAAAUGCGUAGAUAUUCGGAGGAACACCAGUGGCGAAGGCGGCCUACUGGGCUCUAACUGACGCUGAGGCUCGAAAGUGUGGGGAGCAAACA